This 301-nucleotide ribosomal RNA is filed under the name uncultured bacterium. RNAcentral describes it as "partial 16S ribosomal RNA". It matches the Rfam family "Bacterial small subunit ribosomal RNA", at positions 509 to 807 of the family's 1533-position model. The record is from RNAcentral.
CAGUCGCCACGGUAAUACGUAGGGUGCAAGCGUUAAUCGGAAUUACUGGGCGUAAAGCGUGCGCAGGCGGUUUGUUAAGACAGAAGUGAAAUCCCCGGGCUUGACCUGGGAACUGCAUUUGUGACUGGCAAGCUAGAGUAUGGCAGAGGGGGGUGGAAUUCCGCGUGUAGCAGUGGAAUGCGUAGAUAUGCGGAGGAACACCGAUGGCGAAGGCAGCCCCCUGGGCCAAUACUGACGCUCAUGCACGAAAGCGUGGGGAGCAAACAGGAUUAGAUACCCCCGUAGUCCCUGUCUCUUAUAC